CUCUCCUUAGAGCAAGGCCUUAGGAGCUCCUCCCUGAAUGUUUCUAACUUCAAGUCAGAACUCCUUCACGCCGACGAGCUAUUCAGCUGCAACCGAGGCAGCCUGGGGUAGCACUGCCAGCGACAGCCUCUCCGCUUCUUGCUCUAUGCCAAGAAAGUCUUUCUAAGAGGCGAACCUCUCUAAAAUUGGAAAGGGGACCAACGUGAGACCAUUUCAUUACAAUCUCCACCUGCAGUAGCCUCUCGGGAAGAACAGACACCUCUGAAAGAAUCACUUGAAGUGGAUUUCUUGGGAAAAUCUGAUCUGUGAACCUUGCUCUCUAAUUACCGCUGGGAGAACAUGAGUGAGUGGUUUUGCUCUGGCAUAUGCUGCCCACCGCUGCUACCUGGCACACCUACAUCAGGGGCCUAAAAGCAACAGGUGCAUCUCCUGUGAACUGAAAUUUCUAAGACUGUGAACCAAAGGAAAUAAUGGGAUCCAGGAGGUCUUCAGGAAAGAAGACGGGAAACCAUGCUCAAGGCUGGACCGGCAACACUACGAUGUGACCACAGUUAGAAUGACCAUGAAGAACUGUGUACAGUCUUAGUAACAGUGAUCCGGGAGGCAAGACUGGGAACAAACCAUGGAACUAGGCAUCAGGUUGGAAUGACUGUAAAUCUAAGCCGUAUGAUCUGCUGGUACGUAGUUCUGCUGACUAAUCUUCUUGACACUCAGGGUCUUUAAUUUGUGUGUGUGGUGGCACCAUACCAUAGUGUCAUUUUGAGGACUGGAGGAAAUUCUUGUGUAAAGUACCCAGAGCAAGUACUGGCGCUCAGUGAGUGGCAGUAUCAGGGUUUUACUCACACUUUGCUGUGCUGCAGUGACUUUUCAAACAUCCCAGUGAUGCAGACUAUGUCACCCGAACUUUACGACUCCUCAUCCAUCAAUACUUGUUGAGUUAGAUUUAUAGGAAAUCAUUUCAUGGUUGAAAUGCUAUAGAUUACUAACUUCCCUUUGAUGAUUCUUUAAAGGUUGGAAGAUAGUUAGCAGUCCUUUUAACGCAGAAGCUCAGAGAAAAAUGGUGCCACUAUCUUUUUUGGGG
Molecule: long non-coding RNA, 1081 nt
Organism: Chinchilla lanigera (long-tailed chinchilla)
Lineage: Eukaryota; Metazoa; Chordata; Mammalia; Rodentia; Chinchillidae
Exons: 4
Source: RefSeq, a predicted model, not a curated record